This 502-nucleotide ribosomal RNA is filed under the name uncultured bacterium. RNAcentral's name for it is "bacterial SSU rRNA". It matches the Rfam family "Bacterial small subunit ribosomal RNA", at positions 17 to 518 of the family's 1533-position model. The record is from RNAcentral.
UUAUGGCUCAGGAUGAACGCUGGCGGCGUGCCUAAUACAUGCAAGUGAAACGGGUAUCUUCGGAUACCAGUCGCGGACGGGUGAGUAAUACAUAGGCAACCUGCCUUUAUGAGGGGGAUAACCGAGGGAAACUUUGGCUAAUACCGCAUGAAGACUCUAAGGCAUCUUAGAGGGAUAAAAGUUGGGAAACAACGCAUGAAGAUGGGCUUAUGGCGCAUUAGCUAGUUGGUGAGAUAGAAGCCCACCAAGGUAAUGAUGCGUAGCCGACCUGAGAGGGUGAACGGCCACAUUGGGACUGAGACACGGCCCAAACUCCUACGGGAGGCAGCAGUAGGGAAUUUUCGGCAAUGGGGGGAACCCUGACCGAGCAACGCCGCGUGAAGGAAGAAGGUUUUCGGAUUGUAAACUUCUGUUAUAAGGGAAGAACGGAUUGGAUAGGGAAUGAUCUGAUAGUGACGGUACCUUAUUAGAAAGCCACGGCUAACUACGUGCCAGCCGCGGC